ACCACCUCUAAUGUAAGAUCAAGUGUAGUAUCUGUUCAUAUCAGUAUAUUACAUUAUACUGACUCUAUUUUUUAGGGGAUGUCCAUACGGUAGCUUGCUAUUGGGAUUCAGGACCUUCAAGCGUCCUCUGGCAUUGCACUACUGUCUUGGCUUGACGCACCCCCA
RNAcentral lists this small nuclear RNA (165 nucleotides) under Solanum tuberosum (potato). RNAcentral describes it as "snRNA U2". It matches the Rfam family "U2 spliceosomal RNA". Rfam says of the family: U2 is a small nuclear RNA (snRNA) component of the spliceosome (involved in pre-mRNA splicing). The record is from Rfam by way of RNAcentral. Lineage: Eukaryota; Viridiplantae; Streptophyta; Magnoliopsida; Solanales; Solanaceae.